RNAcentral lists this ribosomal RNA (2405 nucleotides) under human gut metagenome. RNAcentral's name for it is "bacterial LSU rRNA". It matches the Rfam family "Bacterial large subunit ribosomal RNA", at positions 14 to 2438 of the family's 2925-position model. The record is from RNAcentral.
AGGGCGUACGGUGGAUGCCUAGGCUCUUACAGGCGAAGAAGGACGUGAUAAGCUGCGAAAAGCUGCGGCGAGGUGCAAAUGACCCUUGACCCGCAGAUGUCCGAAUGGGAAAACCCGGCAGGUUGAAGGCCUGUCAUCAUGGCACGAGUCAUGAGGCGAACGCGGGGAACUGAAACAUCUUAGUACCCGCAGGAAGAGAAAAUAACAAUGAUUCCCCAAGUAGUGGCGAGCGAACGGGGAAGAGCCCAAACCAUUGUGGUAGCAAUGCCAUGAUGGGGUUGUAGGACCACGUCAUCGCAAGAAGCGAGUGAGGAUGACAUGCUGGAAAGUAUGGCCAUAGCGGGUGAAAGCCCCAUGUCCGAAGCGAGCGGAAGCGUAGUGGUAUCCUGAGUAGCGCGGGACACGUGAAAUCCUGUGUGAAUCCGGCGGGCCCAUCCGCCAAGGCUAAAUACUCGUAAGAGACCGAUAGUGAACCAGUACCGUGAGGGAAAGGUGAAAAGCACCCCUAGCAGAGGAGUGAAAGAGUUCCUGAAACCGUACGCCUACAAGCGGUCGGAGCAUGCUAGCAUGUGACGGCGUGCCUUUUGCAUAAUGAACCUACGAGUUACCGUUGUUGGCAAGGUUAAGUGUCAUGAGACACGUAUCCGAAGCGAAAGCGAGUCUGAAUAGGGCGUUGAGUCAUCAGCGGUAGACGCGAAACCAAGUGAUCUACCCUUGUCCAGGUUGAAGUCCGGGUAACACCGGAUGGAGGACCGCACCAAUAAGCGUUGAAAAGCUUCUGGAUGAGGUGAGGGUAGGAGUGAAAGGCCAAUCAAACUUGGAGAUAGCUCGUACUCCCCGAAAUGCAUUUAGGUGCAGCCUUUUCCGUUCCCUGAUGGAGGUAGAGCGACUGAUUGGAUGCGAGGGUUUCACCGCCUAUCAAGUCCAGACAAACUCCGAAUGCCAUCAGGCCAGAGGAAAGGAGUGAGGGCAUGGGUGCUAAGGUCCGUGCCCGAGAGGAGAAGAAUCCGGACCGCCGGCUAAGGUCCCGAAAUACAGGUUAAGUUAGACUAACGCAGUAGGAUUCCUGUGACAGCUAGGAUGUUGGCUUGGAAGCAGCCAUUCAUUCAAAGAGUGCGUAACAGCUCACUAGUCGAGGGAUCCCGCAUGGAUAAUAAUCGGGUAUGAAACCUGUUACCGAAGCCGCGGGAUACGAUAAGGUAUCGGUAGGGGAGCAUUCCAGAUGCGUAGAAGGUGUCAGGACGACUGAUGCUGGAGCGUGUGGAAAAGCAAAUGUAGGUAUAAGUAACGAUAAAGGGGGUGAGAUGCCCCCUCGCCGAAAGGCCAAGGUUUCCUGGGCAACGUUAAUCGUCCCAGGGUCAGUCGGGUCCUAAGCAUAAUCCGAUCUGGAGAGUGCGAUGGCAGAAACGGUAAAGAUUCCGUUACUAUCCAAGGAUGCGAUGCGGAGACGGAGAAGUGACACUUCCGCGCCCUGACGGAAUAGGGCGUUGAAAUGCAAAGACGCAGAUGCGGGCAGGCAAAUCCACCCGCAGAGUUGAAGCAUGAGAGUAGAGGCAGCCUUCGGGUGAGCCUGAAAGUGAAGGUAAUCAGACUCCCGAGAAAAUCCGCUAAGCUCCAGUUCUUGGAUACCCGUACCGUAAACGGACACACGUGGCCGGGUAGAAUAUACUAAGGCGCUUGGGAGAUUCAUGGUUAAGGAACUAGGCAAAUUGACCCUGUAACUUCGGGAAAAAGGGUCCUCACGUGAGUGAGGCGCAGAGAAUAGGUCCAGGCAACUGUUUAACAAAAACACAGGACUGUGCAAAAUCGAAAGAUGCGGUAUACAGUCUGACACCUGCCCGGUGCCGGAAGGUUAAGAGGAGAUGUCAUCUUCGGAGAAGCAUUGAAUUGAAGCCCCGGUAAACGGCGGCCGUAACUAUAACGGUCCUAAGGUAGCGAAAUUCCUUGUCGGGUAAGUUCCGACCUGCACGAAUGGUGUAAUGAUCCGGACACUGUCUCAACCAUGAUCCCAGUGAAAUUGUAGUAUCGGUGAAGAUGCCGAUUACCCGCGAUGGGACGAAAAGACCCCGUGAACCUUUACUAUAGCUUAACGUUGGAACUGGGCAUAUCAUGUGUAGGAUAGGCCGGAGACUGAGAGUGCGGCACGCCAGUGCUGUAGGAGUCGUUGUUGAAAUACGGCCCUUGGUCUGUCUGGUUUCUAACUCCCGUUAUGGGAGGACAUCGUUUGGUGGGUAGUUUGACUGGGGUGGUCGCCUCCAAAAGCGUAACGGAGGCUUCUAAAGGUACCCUCAGGCCGAUUGGUAACCGGCCGUAGAGUGUAAUGGCAGAAGGGUGCUUGACUGGGAGGCCGACAAGCCGAGCAGGUAGGAAACUAGAGCAUAGUGAUCCGGUGGUUCCGUAUGGAA